UAUUAAAAAAAAAAACUAAAGAGAGAGAUUGAUGAAUGAAGAAAAGAAGAGAAUAGCUAUGGUUCAUUUGAAGAAGAAGGGGUUAUUACUGAAUUGAUUUACUUCUUGAUUUACUUCUUUUUCUCGCCAAUUGGUCAUCCCCAAAAUGUGAAGCUAUGAAAUCAAACCUUGGGGGGUGUGUGCGGAUUUUGGCUACUUUCUAAAGGAAUGAGGAAACGAGAGAGCCACAGUCGAGUGAGACUCUUAAAUCUUGAAUUUGACAGGUAGAGCCACACCCACAAACGCAAUCACAUAGCAAGACUCGACAUGACAGUGUGGAUUCGACAGAGGAGGGAGAUAAGGUGGAGCAGGAGAAGUGAAAGUCAACUGUUCAUAGUCGAGACUCAAAAAUCGACGGCGUUGGUGGAGAAGUGAGCCAAGAAUGGGAACUGAAAUGAGAUUACACUGUCUGACAUAGACAACAAGGCGAGCAGUGGAGAAGAAAAGGAAAGAAAAUAAA
Molecule: unclassified non-coding RNA, 499 nt
Filed under: Hevea brasiliensis (rubber tree)
Lineage: Eukaryota; Viridiplantae; Streptophyta; Magnoliopsida; Malpighiales; Euphorbiaceae
Source: RNAcentral